RNAcentral lists this ribosomal RNA (913 nucleotides) under Penicillium sp. Its description in RNAcentral is "partial large subunit ribosomal RNA". It matches the Rfam family "Eukaryotic large subunit ribosomal RNA", at positions 32 to 964 of the family's 3401-position model. Lineage: Eukaryota; Fungi; Ascomycota; Eurotiomycetes; Eurotiales; Aspergillaceae. The record is from RNAcentral.
AACUAGCAUAUCAAUAAGCGGAGGAAAAGAAACCAACAGGGAUUGCCUCAGUAACGGCGAGUGAAGCGGCAAGAGCUCAAAUUUGAAAGCUGGCCCCCUCGGGGUCCGCAUUGUAAUUUGCAGAGGAUGCUUCGGGAGUGGCCCCCAUCUAAGUGCCCUGGAACGGGCCGUCAUAGAGGGUGAGAAUCCCGUCUGGGAUGGGGUGUCCACGCCCGUGUGAAGCUCCUUCGACGAGUCGAGUUGUUUGGGAAUGCAGCUCUAAAUGGGUGGUAAAUUUCAUCUAAAGCUAAAUACUGGCCGGAGACCGAUAGCGCACAAGUAGAGUGAUCGAAAGAUGAAAAGCACUUUGAAAAGAGAGUUAAACAGCACGUGAAAUUGUUGAAAGGGAAGCGCUUGCGACCAGACUCGCCCACGGGGUUCAGCCGGCAUUCGUGCCGGUGUACUUCCCCGCGGGCGGGCCAGCGUCGGUUUGGGCGGCCGGUCAAAGGCCCUUGGAAUGUAACGCCCCCCGGGGCGUCUUAUAGCCAAGGGUGCCAUGCGGCCAGCCCGGACCGAGGAACGCGCUUCGGCUCGGACGCUGGCAUAAUGGUCGUAAGCGACCCGUCUUGAAACACGGACCAAGGAGUCUAACAUCUACGCGAGUGUUCGGGUGUCAAACCCGUGCGCGCAGUGAAAGCGAACGGAGGUGGGAACCCCUCGGGGCGCACCAUCGACCGAUCCUGAAGUCUUCGGAUGGAUUUGAGUAAGAGCGUAGCUGUUGGGACCCGAAAGAUGGUGAACUAUGCCUGAAUAGGGCGAAGCCAGAGGAAACUCUGGUGGAGGCUCGCAGCGGUUCUGACGUGCAAAUCGAUCGUCAAAUUUGGGUAUAGGGGCGAAAGACUAAUCGAACCAUCUAGUAGCUGGUUCCUGCCGA